This 583-nucleotide ribosomal RNA is filed under the name uncultured bacterium. RNAcentral describes it as "partial 16S ribosomal RNA". It matches the Rfam family "Bacterial small subunit ribosomal RNA", at positions 355 to 1375 of the family's 1533-position model. The record is from RNAcentral.
UGGGGAAUUUUGGACAAUGGGCGAAAGCCUGAUCCAGCAAUGCCGCGUGUGUGAAGAAGGCCUUCGGGUUGUAAAGCACUUUUGUCCGGAAAGAAAUCCUUGGCUCUAAUACAGUCGGGGGAUGACGGUACCGGAAGAAUAAGCACCGGCUAACUACGUGCCAGCAGCCGCGGUAAUACGUAGGGUGCAAGCGUUAAUCGGAAUUACUGGGCGUAAAGCGUGCGCAGGCGGUUUGCUAAGACCGAUGUGAAAUCCCCGGGCUCAACCUGGGAACUGCAUUGGUGACUGGCAGGCUAGAGUAUGGCAGAGGGGGGUAGAAUUCCACGUGUAGCAGUGAAAUGCGUAGAGAUGUGGAGGAAUACCGAUGGCGAAGGCAGCCCCCUGGGCCAAUACUGACGCUCAUGCACGAAAGCGUGGGGAGCAAACAGGAUUAGAUACCCUGGUAGUCCACGCCCUAAACGAUGUCAACUAGUUGUUGGGGAUUCAUUCCUUAGUAACGUAGCUAACGCGUGAAGUUGACCGCCUGGGGAGUACGGUCGCAAGAUUAAAACUUAAUGAAUUGACGGGGUCAUAGCUGUUUCCU